UACAGAGGUCCCAAGCGUUGUUCGGAUUCACUGGGCGUAAAGGGUGCGUAGGCGGUCGGGUAAGUCUGAUGUGAAAUCUCACAGCUUAACUGUGAAACUGCAUUGGAUACUAUCCGGCUCGAGGAAUGGAGGGGAGACUGGAAUACUUGGUGUAGCAGUGAAAUGCGUAGAUAUCAAGUGGAACACCAGUGGCGAAGGCGAGUCUCUGGACAUUUCCUGAUGCUGAGGCACGAAAGCCGGGGGAGCAAACGGG
This 253-nucleotide ribosomal RNA is filed under the name uncultured bacterium. RNAcentral describes it as "partial 16S ribosomal RNA". It matches the Rfam family "Bacterial small subunit ribosomal RNA", at positions 524 to 776 of the family's 1533-position model. The record is from RNAcentral.